UAAAACCCGCACGCGUAAUGAAAGUGAACGUAGGUGAGAGCUUCGGCGCAUCAUCGACCGAUCCUGAUGUAUUCGGAUGGAUUUGAGUAAGAGCGUUAAGCCUUGGACCCGAAAGAUGGUGAACUAUGCUUGGAUAGGGUGAAGCCAGAGGAAACUCUGGUGGAGGCUCGCAGCGGUUCUGACGUGCAAAUCGAUCGUCAAAUCUGAGCAUGGGGGCAAAGCUAAUCGAACCAUCUAGUAGCUGGUUACCGCCGAAGUUUUCCCCUCAGGAUAGCAGUGUUGUUCUUCAGUUUUAUGAGGUAAAGCGAAUGAUUAGGGACUCGGGGGCGCUUUUUAGCCUUCAUCCAUUCUCAAACUUUAAUAUGUAAGAAGCCCUUGUUACUUAAUUGAACGUGGGCAUUCGAAUGUACCAACACUAGUGGGCCUAUUUUUGGUAAG
RNAcentral lists this non-coding RNA (438 nucleotides) under Neurospora tetrasperma FGSC 2509. Its description in RNAcentral is "Eukaryotic large subunit ribosomal RNA". It matches the Rfam family "Eukaryotic large subunit ribosomal RNA", at positions 702 to 1144 of the family's 3401-position model. The record is from Rfam by way of RNAcentral. Lineage: Eukaryota; Fungi; Ascomycota; Sordariomycetes; Sordariales; Sordariaceae.